ACCACGGAGAGUUUGAUCCUGGCUCAGAACGAACGUUGGCGGCGUGGAUUAGGCAUGCAAGUCGAACGCGAACGCCGGACUUCGGUCCGGCUAGUAGAGUGGCGAACGGGUGAGUAACGCGUGGGCAAUCUGCCCUUGAGUGGGGAAUAACCAUUCUAACGAAUGGCUAAUACCGCAUGUGUCCCUUCCCUCGCAUGGGGGAGGGUGCAAAGGUGGGGAUCUUCGGACCUGCCGCUCGAGGAGGGGCCCGCGUCCCAUUAGCUUGUUGGUGAGGUAACGGCUCACCAAGGCGACGAUGGGUAGCCGAUCUGAGAGGAUGACCGGCCACACUGGGACUGAGAUACGGCCCAGACUCCUACGGGAGGCAGCAGUCGAGAAGCUUCGGCAAUGGGGGAAACCCUGACCGAGCGACGCCGCGUGCGGGAUGACGGCUUUCGGGUUGUAAACCGCUGUCAGGAGGGAAGAAUCCUAUCGGGCCAAUACCCCGAUAGUUGACGGUACCUCCAGAGGAAGCUCCGGCUAACUCCGUGCCAGCAGCCGCGGUAAUACGGAGGGAGCAAACGUUGUUCGGAAUCACUGGGCGUAAAGGGUGCGUAGGCGGAUUCGCAAGUCAGAGGUGAAAUGUCCCGGCUCAACCGGGGACCUGCCUUUGAAACUGCGAGUCUUGAGGGCGUGAGAGGAGACUGGAAUUCCUAGUGUAGCGGUGGAAUGCAUAGA
Molecule: ribosomal RNA, 717 nt
Filed under: Gemmatimonadota bacterium
Lineage: Bacteria; Pseudomonadati; Gemmatimonadota
Description: bacterial SSU rRNA
Rfam family: Bacterial small subunit ribosomal RNA
Source: RNAcentral